This is a long non-coding RNA of Oncorhynchus tshawytscha (Chinook salmon), 1078 nucleotides long. The record is from Ensembl. NCBI's taxonomy places the organism in Eukaryota, Metazoa, Chordata, Actinopteri, Salmoniformes, Salmonidae.
UGUGUGUGUGAGAGAGGCUGUGUGAGAGAGGCUGUGUGAGAGAGAGAGAGGCUGUGAGAGAGAGAGAGAGGCUGUGAGAGAGAGAGAGAGAGAGAGAGAGAGAGAGAGAGAGAGAAAGAGAGGCUGUGAGAGAGAGAGAGGCUGUGAGAGAGAGAGAGAGAGGCUGUGAGAGAGAGAGAGAGGCUGAGAGAGAGAGAGAGGCUGAGAGAGAGAGAGAGAGAGAGAGAGAGAGAGAUGCAAACUGGUCAGGAUCAAACUGCUUACACACAUUCCAAAUGCAGACAUAACUUAUGUAUUUAUUUUGACAGGGCUUGGAAGAUUCCUGUGCUCUCUCACCUUGGUGAGAUACAUGCAGUGUCCCUUUGGACUGUCUCUUUUCCUAACAAGCUGCCAUGAUGAGAGAGACAGACCACAGCCCAGUCAUGUUCCUGUCAGCAGGGCAGCUGGGGCUAGGCUACACAUGCUGGACAUUGUGAAUGAAAGUCCCAAGCAGACCUGGGUUCAAAUCCUAUUAAAAGCGUUCAAACACUUGGAGCAUUUGCUUGAGUCUGCCUGGAGUGCCAGGUGGUGGGUGGGACUUUUCAGUUGGUUCCAUUGCAUCAGGAAAUCUCAUCAAGCGCCGGCUAAAGCAUUUGAAAUGAUUCUCAACACUAUUUGAACCCAGCGCUGGCCCUAAGGCAGGAAACCCAUCUGAUUUGUUUCAGGAUGUAAUAAGGUCUUCCUAAGGGCCUGUGUUUGGGGUGCGAUCGGUGGAGGGAAAUGUGUUUCUGCAGCAUUGAAUCCCUGAUGAGCUAGAUGACGUUAUGCUCAUUGUUUUGAUAAAACGUUUAAACCCAAGCAACUCUAAUGAACUUGUGUGCAGUGGCGUACCACAUUUUCCUUCCAUAGACAAGCAAUGGGAGCACACUCUUGAGUUUGAAGUCUUGUGUCACUGUCGCAGAAAUGAAGGAUAUUCAUUAGAAGUCAAUUAAGUUUCUAUCAGUGUAGUUACAGUAGAUUGUGUCCCUGUCAUGUUCAAUGCAGUGUUUGCGGUUCAUUUAUUAGCGCACAUGACAUGAGCGCAAAGCAAAAAUAUGUC